AGGUUCCAAGGGUACCUGCACAGCCAAUUUUUGAGAGGGCCAUGAAGUGAAGAUCUUUAUCUACAUAUACCAGUCUUUUUCAGGCACAUCCAUUGCACACCUCCAACCUAUCAUCACCCACAUAUAUUCCAGCGCCCUUGAGUAACUGCUGAAUGGAAAUUAUCUCUCACACAUCCCUGCUGUUAGCUGCGCAGGAGCUAUCCAUCACUGUCAAUGUCACAGAGACCUUCUGGAGCUGCCAUACCUCUUUUUUUGUACGUGCCCCUAGCGGGAACCGAACCCAGGACUCUCUGGUUCACAAGCCAAC
Molossus molossus (Pallas's mastiff bat) is the source of this 307-nucleotide long non-coding RNA. RefSeq lists it as uncharacterized. The record is from RefSeq and is a predicted model, not a curated record. The transcript is spliced from 3 exons. Lineage: Eukaryota; Metazoa; Chordata; Mammalia; Chiroptera; Molossidae.